RNAcentral lists this ribosomal RNA (253 nucleotides) under uncultured bacterium. Its description in RNAcentral is "partial 16S ribosomal RNA". It matches the Rfam family "Bacterial small subunit ribosomal RNA", at positions 524 to 776 of the family's 1533-position model. The record is from RNAcentral.
UACGUAGGGAGCAAGCGUUGUCCGGAAUCAUUGGGCGUAAAGCGCGCGUAGGUGGCUUCAUAAGUCCGUUGUGAAAGUCAAGGGCUCAACUCUUGAAAGCCGGUUGAUACUGUCGGGCUAGAGUCCGGAAGAGGCGAGUGGAAUUCCCGGUGUAGCGGUGAAAUGCGCAGAUAUCGGGAGGAACACCAAUGGCGAAGGCAGCUCGCUGGGACGGUACUGACGCUGAGACGCGAAAGCGUGGGGAGCAAACAGG